Long non-coding RNA from Melanotaenia boesemani (Boeseman's rainbowfish), 178 nucleotides. RefSeq lists it as uncharacterized. The transcript is spliced from 3 exons. Lineage: Eukaryota; Metazoa; Chordata; Actinopteri; Atheriniformes; Melanotaeniidae. The record is from RefSeq and is a predicted model, not a curated record.
CGCUUUAAGAAAUCCAAAGGGACAGAUGAACAAUCUCUUUUUGAUGGCCUGUUCAUUGCACAAGAUGCCCAAGUGUCUGCCUUUGUGGAUCAGACAAGAAGCCAGAUGACGAUUAGAACUGGUCAUGAUGUAUGUGGGCCGGCAACUUUUACUGCAGGGCGAGAAACCUCCCAGAAGU